UUGGACUUGUUCUUGGUACUUGUGCAUGUUUCACUCCUUUUUGAGCUGGUUUUGAGUAAUUGUCACCUUUUUCACCAAACCCUUCAAACAAGUACAACAUGUAAGCCUUUGAGACUAUUUUUGUAUACAUAUUUAAUCAAAACUCAAGUAUAGAGGAGUGUAAAAUGAACUAUAAUCCCUAGUUAUCAGUAGUACCUUAGAAGUAAUAUCAUUUAAGAUGAGUUACGUCUCAAUUGUUUGGUAGUUGUUCUCCGUUCAUCAUUCUGAGCUUAUAGGACCCUUUCCUUGUGAUUCGAGAAUUUGGUACAACCCUUCCCAGUUCAGACCUAAUUUCCCUUCAUUUGGAUUUCAGAUGUUUAAUGUGAGCUUCCUCAGCACUAAGUCCCCGACAUUAAAAUAUUAAAGGCUGGCCUUCGAUUGUAAUACCUUUUGAUGCGUUGCUUUUGGGCGGCCAAUCGAACAAAAGUAGCUUAACGUUGUUCAUCCAAUAGCUCCAGGCUUGUAUUCAUGGCCUCGUCAUUCGAUUCCUUUAUCGCAUAUCAAAAUCUGAUACUCGGCUCCGUAACUUUGACCGGUAUUAAAGCUUUGGUGCCACAACUAAUGAGAACGGGGUGGCCCCGAUACUAGACUUCGAAGUUGUGUGAUACGCCCAAAAAACUUCGGGUAUGAUCUCUCUCCAUUUACCCUUGGCGUCAGUCAACCUUUUCUUGAGAUUUUGGAUUAUAGUUUUGUUGGUCAAUUCGGCUUGUCCAUUUUCACUAGGGUGAUAAGGUAUUGAUAAGAUCCUUUUGAUCUUAUGGCCUUCGAAAAAUUUGGUCACCUUGCUGCCGAUAAAUUGCUUUCCGUUGUCAUAUGAAAUUUUGGAUGGUAUUCCAAAUCGACAUAUUAUGUGGUCCCAAAUGAAAUCUGUCACACCUCCUUUUUACUACCCCCGGAAGGAAUAUAAGGGAGUUUUUUCCAAUUUAAGUGAUAAUAGAAACAUGAUUAUUUAUUUAAAAAACUAGAGUCACCACUUGGGAUAAUUUAUGGUGUACCAAGUUACCGGUUUAAAAUCCCAAAACGAGGAAGUUGACUCUUAAUCAUGGUCUGCGAACACAGAAAUCUGGGAAAGGAAUUCUGUUAAUCCGGGAGAAGGUGUUAGGCAUUCUCGGGUUCCGUAGUUUUAGCACGGUCGCUUUGAUCAUACUUGGCUUAAUAAAAUUGUCUAAUUACUCAUUUUAGAACAUAUGUGCAUUUACCUUUUUUAAUUAAGACAUUAUCUUAAAACAGGUCACGCGCACGUGUACCCAUUUAUUUGGCACGUCAAAAAUCAUGUCACGCGAAUGUGUCCACAAUUAAUAACGCUUUAUUAUUGUUAAGAAAGUUUAGUCGAAGUUGCGCGAACGCAUACUCCGGUUUUGUUUUUAGGAUCGUAAUUAUGUCAUGUGAACGUGUGCACAAUUACGGUGAUAGAUUAAGUCACGCUUAAAGCAAGCUACGAGGUUCAUGAAUUAUUUUACUAACUACUUCGAGAUUACGCGUGAAUGGUAUAUGAUUAUGGAGCACAUUCGCUAAGAGAGAUUUCAUGCUCGUAUUCUUUUAACCUUUCAUUUCUCGCAUUCGACCUAGCCCAAUUCCUAAAUAUGUGAGCAAUUUUAAUCACCAAUGGGCUAGGCAUUUCCAAAUUCAGAAAUUUAGCACGUGCUCUGUCCUUUGUGACACAAACACAUAAGUGAAGAGAAUGAUAACAGAAUCACAGCGCACAUAGAGAGUCGGAGAAAGAGCAAUAGAAAACCAUUCGACUACAAUAGAGAAUUGAUAGAGCUAGGAGGCAUUGAUAUGAACCAAACAUGAAAGGGCUGAAAGCAGAGACGAUGUAAGUGCGUAAAUCACAAAUAACGAUUUAUACAUCAUAUCCAUUGCAAUUUACCAAAUAAUCUCUCUUUAUUCACCUUCCUAACACUCUAGAUAUCCGUCAAAUUUAUACUUACCCAUAAAUAAAAUCAGUUGAAAAACCAAACUACAAAAUCCUCCAUUUCGGUUCAACAGAGCAUGUGAUAUUGAAUUCAAGAAGUAACUUAACAUGUACACACCAAUUCAUUUCAACCACAACAAAGCAAUUAAUAGUGAAACGGUCAUCCAUUUAAACCAAACUCACUGAAAACAAGCAUUAUGAGAUAGAGAAUUCGCCAAACCAUAUCAUGUUCUAGAGUUAAUAAUAAAAUCAAACAUUAAACAAACCAAACCAUAUUCUUAUUGCAUGAUCAAAUAGAAGAAAUGAAGCUUGAACCAACUGACCGGAUCAGGACCAACGACGGCAACCUCGAAACGUCAAUAAUUGGCUCCAAACAGAUCCCACAAUGAGUUCCAAAAUGGACUCAAACUAACGAAAACUUCAACAGCAGAAAAUGUGGCUCACGACCACCCAGAUAUUGAACUACAGAAAAGGAGGAAGCGAGGGAUCAAGAGAAGGAACGUCGAUUUCGACCGAAACCUAAUAGUCCGUGAAGUAUGAAAGCUGUGAAAUUGCAAGGCUUUUUCAGCGAGCUUGCCGGACAGGAAAUGGAAAAAUGGUUGAUUCUCUGCUUCAAUGGUUAGGACCUGCCGCUGCUCAAGAUUAACGAAGAUGGGGGAGGGCGUUCUUGGUCUUGUCUGCUGUUAGCUCUAGCUAAGGGUCCUUUUUUGUUUCUUGCUUCUUCAAGAAGAUCGAUAGGGGGGGG
RNAcentral lists this long non-coding RNA (2699 nucleotides) under Nicotiana tabacum (common tobacco). RNAcentral's name for it is "long non-coding RNA (NTAB_LNC001506)". The record is from RNAcentral. Lineage: Eukaryota; Viridiplantae; Streptophyta; Magnoliopsida; Solanales; Solanaceae.